GCUGUGUAGGCUUGGGAAAUUUGAUUUCAGAUGGUUUUUUUUUUUACUUCAGAUAUUUUCGUUUCCAUUUUGAAGCACUGAAUUCUGCCCUUUGCAGCUCAAUUUCCACAUUAAUUUACAGUGUGGACUAAAUGUUUUGUUUCAAAGAGUGGCCCUGUGGCCCUUUUAUACAUUCUUGUUCAUCUCAAAGUUUGAGUUGCUCUACAUUAAUAGUGUGUUUGGUUUGGUUUUUCUUGUAAAGUUAAUGUGUCUGGACAGAUUUGAGUGGUACCAAAAUCCAAAGGAAGAAAGUGAUUAAAGCCUUUUAAAAAAUGCCUGUGUGCCUGAUGCUAAAUAAAGAGGACCUUGGAUUGAAUAAACACUGAUAGGACCUAAAGUUUCUGUUCUGCACUUGAGAGAUACUUCAGUUUGCUUUCUUUAGAGGGCCUGAUUACAGCUGGUUUGGUGCUUAUCUUGUUUUGAUUCUUUUAACUUUGGUAGGCCUUGAUUUGAUUUUUUUUUUUUAACACUCUUAAAUUUUGGAAAUGGAGUUCUGGAAGAUACUUCACACAUUUAAGUAUUUGCAUUUUACCCUGUCUCUGUGUCAGUCCUGUGGCCACCUGCAGUGGAGGGCCCCAAGGCAGGCGUGGUGACAUCCAGGUAAAUGGUGCCGGACUGCCCACUGUGCCUGGGCUUACAGGCGAGCAUGGAAGGCUGUAAGCAGCUGUGCUUUUGUCACAAGUCUGUCUUCAGUCUGAAGCAGGUGUUUUUGCUAGAAAUGGUCCUGGUGUUUCACUGUACUAGUGAUGAGCUGACAUAACAGUAUGGUGCGAUGGCAAGCAGGGGAAUAAGAGAAGAACUGGACAAGGUGAGGCUGUCAAGACAUAACCUAGAGCAGAAGUGCUGGCUGUGCUGGGGACCAUUUCCCUUCCCUAAGAGAAGUGAUCUCAGCUGGCCUGAGGCCAGCUGAAAAGUUAUGUUCUCCCUAGAUGAGUUGUAUAGGUAAAGAUCCUUCUCUUCCAAAAAAAAAAAAAAAAUUCAGCUGUACUUGUUACAAUAUUUUUUUUUCCUGUGGUUGAAUAUUAGGGUCAACAUUUUCCCUGGCAGAUUUUCUGGGUUGUAUGGAAACCAUGGCGCACUGUAGCUGCUACCCUGCUUGGAGCCUUUGCCAGAGUACCAGGACAGAGCUUUGCCAGAGUACUGGCUUUCUUUUAACACUUUUGGAAGUCAUUUGUGAAGAUCAAAAGUUACCAGUGUACUGAGCAAUGCAAAUCUUGUUUCCCUAUAUCCAGGCUGAGAUUCAUUUGGCACUCUCAGGUGUUAACCUUCAUUUUUCAGAUAAUGAAGGUGUGCAGCUAUGUAAGUGGUUUGAACAACUGUGGCAUUCAUGUGUAUGAAAAUGAAGUAAUUAUGCAUGCCAGAUACCAUUAAACAAAAGGUGGCCUACUAUGUCUCCUUUCCACUAAAUUAGGCCAGUGUGCAAUAGUAGCUUUUACUGAGUAGAUGUGUAGUAGCUACAAAUCUCUAGCUCCUGGCAGUGGGAGCUGGAGAUUGAGAGUACUGAAGUGCCAUAAAUUUCAGAACUUAUCUCAAAGACCAGGGCUGGGAAAGUUUGAAUGAAAACUAAGACAUGUUGUUUUUUGACAGCAAAUGGAUUGACCAUUGGAACGAGCUGUCUGAAGGUAGAGGGGAACCUCCAUUCUUCAUGCUGCAAUUCAAGGCCAGAAACUUUUCUGAAAGAUGUUCAAGCCUUUGGGCUCGACUAAGGAAGUGGAAACUUUAGGGGCCAGCAUUACAUGAGGUUGAGACCAGAUGGUCUGAUGGGCUUUGUGAAUUCAGGUGUCUGUGCUGCUAGAGCCAAGAUAACUUGUCCAUUCUCUGCAAAGUGCCAUGUCAUCCCAGGUGUCUCUGUCCUGGUGUGAGUACAUGGUUUGGUGAGCAGCUGAGCUGACCAACAGCCCCAAUGGCUCAUCUCAUUCCUGCUUCUGCCAGUGUGGGCUCAUCCUCUUUUUGGAGCUUUGGUAUUCAUCCAGCCUGGCCCUGAUCUAAUUCGUCUCACUAAACCAGCCAGAAACUAUCUUGUUUUAAUUGUGUUUUAUUCUGGCUGUGUUAGUCCUUUUAUGGGUUCCUGUGGUUGAAUCGGCUUGCAGAAGAGCCAGACAGGCUCAGGAACUGGUGUGUCGUAAUCAGCAGGAGAGCAAGACUGAGAGGGAAGGACAGGCCUGCCUCCUUUUGGCCUCCCAGAACUGUUGGCUUGGUUAACUUCAUUUGUGUAGUUUCACACUGGUGCAUUUUCUUAUGGCUCCCAGGCAGAGGCAGGAGACUGGACUAGAGGAUUUUUGGUCUGAUCCUGUGCAACUAUUCUUUUCCUUAAUAGCAGAUCUGUUCUUCCUCUUUGGCUUUUGCUGUAUGUGUCCCUGUUAUUGCUUCUUUGUUUUAAUUUUUGUUCUUUCCUUUCUCUACAUUUCUUCUAAGUGACCAGUCCUUUGCUGUGUGGAACUUCUUCAGACUCCAGCUUAGACCCGUUUGCUCAUCUGCAGUUACUCUUGGAGAAGGUUUAAAAAUACACAGCAAAGCCUGUCUUAGGAGACCAGUCAAGGAGCUGACGAAACUUUGUAGGGUGCCAUAGCUCCAGCAAGUGCUUCCCUAAGUAAUCAGCGCCUUCAGCCUUGCACAUUGUGAUCUCACAAGCCAUCGCGUCUGUGAUGUCACAAUGGAAGAGAUUCUGGUGCUCUGACUUGUGUGGUCGUGCCUUUGACAAAUCAGCCAAGGAACCCUGCGGCAAGAAUGAGCUCAAGAAAUGGGAGAGACCUUCCUUAACCCAAGAGUGCCCUCCAUCCUUUAGUCAGCCUUUUCCGUGUUCACUUAUCUCUUCCCUAAUGACCAUACAGAGGGAAACCAGUGCCUGUAUAGGGUGAAUUAUUUUUUUCAGUUGACCUACCAAAAUGCAUGUUUCUCCCAGAUGAGCAGUUGCCCAACUCUCCUCCUGUACCCCUCAUUCUUUUCUGUUGUUCCCUUCACUUGUAUUGCUUCUAAUUUUAGACUGUAAGUUCUUGAGAACAGGGACCUCCUCAUCUGUAGUGGGAAGAGCCUGGGUGUGAUUGUGGAGUACUGUAAAAACAAAACAAUGAAUGCCAAGUUGUAUCUGAGCUGAGUAAUGAUGGGGCAGCAUAUAGACGUGCCAUGACAUUACAAAUUUUCCAAAUUACAGGCGUGGCUGUCUAGCAGUGCCGGAGAAAAACCCGGCCAGAUUUGAAGGGAGUGCAGCCAUGAAGUGUACUGUUCUCAUGUUGAAGUGAUGAUACUGUGAGGUUAACAAAUUAAAGAAAGAAGCAAAUCUACCUGUCUAAAAUUGUGUUACUUUAUUAAACAGUUCUAAAAGCUU
Long non-coding RNA from Pyrgilauda ruficollis (rufous-necked snowfinch), 3364 nucleotides. RefSeq lists it as uncharacterized. NCBI's taxonomy places the organism in Eukaryota, Metazoa, Chordata, Aves, Passeriformes, Passeridae. The record is from RefSeq and is a predicted model, not a curated record. The transcript is spliced from 2 exons.